GUUUAAUCUUCCAGUUUUUAGUUCUCCACCCAGGAGAUAAAGAAUCACAUUUAGCUUUCUCAUAAUGGUAGCUUGUUGGAAUUAAUUUCUGCAGUUUUCUGAAUUUGGAAGAUGUGGAUCUUCAUAAAUCAGACAAUCUAGAUGUGAAUUGCAAUCUGGACUUUGCGGCCCCUUUGGAAGGCAAGUACAUUGAGACAUUUUCUCUUAGAUUGUUGUGCAACAAAACUGCUAUAGAAAUACUAGGCAGUUUAACUUUUUUAGCCUUUUCAAUAUGUCCUGUCUCUUACAGAGUGUAUUAUUCCUGACAAAAUGAUCAAAAAGUUGUGUUUUGAAGUGUGGGCUGUUUGUUCCUCACCACAGUUGUUCAGGACUUGUCCUGGCUUGCUCAUGUGAUCGUGUGCCCAGAGACCAGCUGCAGUUUCAAAGUGGAUUUGCUGUGCAGCAGUAGAAACCUCUUGGAAAAUAGUGCUCAAGGGAUUAUGUGUGCCUCAGUCCUGCAUCGAGAGAGUUGAUGGCAAGAGCACAGAUGAUGGAGCUCAUAAAGGCAAAUCCCCUGUGUUAGAAGGAGAAGACAGCAAACGAAGCAAGGAGCACAGUGACCUUGCAGGUCACAGGUCAACCAGUGUUUGUCUCAGUUGUUUAGGAUCCUAUUUGCCUUGCUAUCCAGCUGCAGGACAGAUGCUUUUAAUAUAUCUUCUAAAGCUCUGAGAAGAUUGUAGAUUUCAAUUUUAUGCUAUCAAGAAAAGUAUUCUCUGUUAGCAGACAUUUUCAUGGUCUGGUUCUAGAAAUGCUUUCUCUUAGAUGCAUAACUGUCCACAGUCAACGAGGAAACAGAGAUCCCUUGCGUGUCCCUAGUUAAUGCACCUGGGUUUAGUGCUUGGUUUUAACGUGCAGCAUGGGUUUAGCAAAAAGUAGCUAUAGAAGCAGAACUGCCAUACCUUAGUAUUUAAAAUAUGGAU
Molecule: long non-coding RNA, 959 nt
Filed under: Cyanistes caeruleus (blue tit)
Lineage: Eukaryota; Metazoa; Chordata; Aves; Passeriformes; Paridae
Description: lncRNA (ENSCCEG00000022664.1)
Source: RNAcentral